UACAGAGGUGGCAAGCGUUGUUCGGAAUUACUGGGCGUAAAGGGCGCGUAGGCGGCCACCGCAAGUCGACUGUGAAAUCUCCGGGCUUAACCCGGAAAGGUCAGCCGAUACUGCGGGGCUAGAGUGCAGAAGGGGCAACUGGAAUUCUCGGUGUAGCGGUGAAAUGCGUAGAUAUCGAGAGGAACACCUGCGGCGAAGGCGGGUUGCUGGGCUGACACUGACGCUGAAGCGCGAAAGCUAGGGGAGCGAACGGG
RNAcentral lists this ribosomal RNA (254 nucleotides) under uncultured bacterium. Its description in RNAcentral is "partial 16S ribosomal RNA". It matches the Rfam family "Bacterial small subunit ribosomal RNA", at positions 524 to 776 of the family's 1533-position model. The record is from RNAcentral.